This 497-nucleotide ribosomal RNA is filed under the name uncultured bacterium. RNAcentral's name for it is "partial 16S ribosomal RNA". It matches the Rfam family "Bacterial small subunit ribosomal RNA", at positions 28 to 507 of the family's 1533-position model. The record is from RNAcentral.
GACGAACGCUGGCGGCGUGCCUAAUACAUGCAAGUAGAACGCUGAAGAGAGGAGCUUGCUCUUCUUGGAUGAGUUGCGAACGGGUGAGUAACGCGUAGGUAACCUGCCUUGUAGCGGGGGAUAACUAUUGGAAACGAUAGCUAAUACCGCAUAACAAUGGAUGACACAUGUCAUUUAUUUGAAAGGGGCAAUUGCUCCACUACAAGAUGGACCUGCGUUGUAUUAGCUAGUAGGUGAGGUAAUGGCUCACCUAGGCGACGAUACAUAGCCGACCUGAGAGGGUGAUCGGCCACACUGGGACUGAGACACGGCCCAGACUCCUACGGGAGGCAGCAGUAGGGAAUCUUCGGCAAUGGGGGCAACCCUGACCGAGCAACGCCGCGUGAGUGAAGAAGGUUUUCGGAUCGUAAGGCUCUGUUGUAAGUCAAGAACGGGUGUGAGAGUGGAAAGUUCACACUGUGACGGUAGCUUACCAGAAAGGGACGGCUAACUACGUG